RNAcentral lists this ribosomal RNA (174 nucleotides) under uncultured bacterium. RNAcentral describes it as "partial 16S ribosomal RNA". It matches the Rfam family "Bacterial small subunit ribosomal RNA", at positions 1327 to 1500 of the family's 1533-position model. The record is from RNAcentral.
UGGAAUCGCUAGUAAUCGCGGAUCAGAAUGCCGCGGUGAAUACGUUCCCGGGUCUUGUACACACCGCCCGUCACACCAUGGGAGCCAGGAAUGCCCGAAGCCAGUGGCCUAACCGCAAGGGAGGAGCUGUCGAAGGCAGGCCCGGUAACUGGGGUGAAGUCGUAACAAGGUACC